CUCGAUUGCCUCAAAAAUUUUCAUUGAACCACAGUAGAAACAUUUUUGCUAUCCCCGAAACACGCAGACAGGAAAAAUAUAAUCUUUCCACUAACAAAAGCAUCAUUAGCUCGUAAUCAUCAAGCAUCAAUUCCAAUCAGCUUAAUUAACAAAACUCAUGGACAACUAAUCACCAAACUGACAAUUACACAGCUCCAAAACAAACCCAGAUCCAAAAAAUUCACCACAGAUAAACUACUUGGUACUUACCACAUCUCUCCGCACAAAAGCAGUAAGACAAUUGCUAUUUGCUAGAAUGAAAUUACUUGUGACAAUCUUCC
Molecule: long non-coding RNA, 320 nt
Filed under: Daucus carota (carrot)
Lineage: Eukaryota; Viridiplantae; Streptophyta; Magnoliopsida; Apiales; Apiaceae
Description: long non-coding RNA (DCAR_LNC002076)
Source: RNAcentral